Molecule: ribosomal RNA, 1425 nt
Filed under: Staphylococcus aureus
Lineage: Bacteria; Bacillati; Bacillota; Bacilli; Caryophanales; Staphylococcaceae
Description: partial 23S ribosomal RNA
Rfam family: Bacterial large subunit ribosomal RNA
Source: RNAcentral
UGGAUUGCACGUCUAAGCAGUAAGGCUGAGUAUUAGGCAAAUCCGGUACUCGUUAAGGCUGAGCUGUGAUGGGGAGAAGACAUUGUGUCUUCGAGUCGUUGAUUUCACACUGCCGAGAAAAGCCUCUAGAUAGAAAAUAGGUGCCCGUACCGCAAACCGACACAGGUAGUCAAGAUGAGAAUUCUAAGGUGAGCGAGCGAACUCUCGUUAAGGAACUCGGCAAAAUGACCCCGUAACUUCGGGAGAAGGGGUGCUCUUUAGGGUUAACGCCCAGAAGAGCCGCAGUGAAUAGGCCCAAGCGACUGUUUAUCAAAAACACAGGUCUCUGCUAAACCGUAAGGUGAUGUAUAGGGGCUGACGCCUGCCCGGUGCUGGAAGGUUAAGAGGAGUGGUUAGCUUCUGCGAAGCUACGAAUCGAAGCCCCAGUAAACGGCGGCCGUAACUAUAACGGUCCUAAGGUAGCGAAAUUCCUUGUCGGGUAAGUUCCGACCCGCACGAAAGGCGUAACGAUUUGGGCACUGUCUCAACGAGAGACUCGGUGAAAUCAUAGUACCUGUGAAGAUGCAGGUUACCCGCGACAGGACGGAAAGACCCCGUGGAGCUUUACUGUAGCCUGAUAUUGAAAUUCGGCACAGCUUGUACAGGAUAGGUAGGAGCCUUUGAAACGUGAGCGCUAGCUUACGUGGAGGCGCUGGUGGGAUACUACCCUAGCUGUGUUGGCUUUCUAACCCGCACCACUUAUCGUGGUGGGAGACAGUGUCAGGCGGGCAGUUUGACUGGGGCGGUCGCCUCCUAAAAGGUAACGGAGGCGCUCAAAGGUUCCCUCAGAAUGGUUGGAAAUCAUUCAUAGAGUGUAAAGGCAUAAGGGAGCUUGACUGCGAGACCUACAAGUCGAGCAGGGUCGAAAGACGGACUUAGUGAUCCGGUGGUUCCGCAUGGAAGGGCCAUCGCUCAACGGAUAAAAGCUACCCCGGGGAUAACAGGCUUAUCUCCCCCAAGAGUUCACAUCGACGGGGAGGUUUGGCACCUCGAUGUCGGCUCAUCGCAUCCUGGGGCUGUAGUCGGUCCCAAGGGUUGGGCUGUUCGCCCAUUAAAGCGGUACGCGAGCUGGGUUCAGAACGUCGUGAGACAGUUCGGUCCCUAUCCGUCGUGGGCGUAGGAAAUUUGAGAGGAGCUGUCCUUAGUACGAGAGGACCGGGAUGGACAUACCUCUGGUGUACCAGUUGUCGUGCCAACGGCAUAGCUGGGUAGCUAUGUGUGGACGGGAUAAGUGCUGAAAGCAUCUAAGCAUGAAGCCCCCCUCAAGAUGAGAUUUCCCAACUUCGGUUAUAAGAUCCCUCAAAGAUGAUGAGGUUAAUAGGUUCGAGGUGGAAGCAUGGUGACAUGUGGAGCUGACGAAUACUAAUCGAUCGAAGACUUAAUCAA